RNAcentral lists this ribosomal RNA (393 nucleotides) under uncultured bacterium. RNAcentral's name for it is "partial 16S ribosomal RNA". It matches the Rfam family "Bacterial small subunit ribosomal RNA", at positions 523 to 918 of the family's 1533-position model. The record is from RNAcentral.
AUACGGAGGAUGCGAGCGUUAUCCGGAUUUAUUGGGUUUAAAGGGUGCGUAGGCUGUGCGUUAAGUCAGGGGUGAAAUGCCGUCGCUCAACGACGGAGCUGCCCUUGAUACUGGCGUGCUGGAGUACGGAUGCCGUUGGAGGAAUGAGUGGUGUAGCGGUGAAAUGCUUAGAUAUCACUCAGAACACCGAUUGCGAAGGCAUCUGACGAAUCCGUCACUGACGCUGAGGCACGAAAGCGUGGGGAUAGAACAGGAUUAGAUACCCUGGUAUUCCACGCCGUAAACGAUGAUGACUAACCGUCGGCGACAGACAGCCGGUGGCCAAGCGAAAGCGAUAAGUCAUCCACCUGGGGAGUACGUCGGCAACGAUGAAACUCAAAGGAAUUGACGGGG